Molecule: long non-coding RNA, 250 nt
Organism: Vidua chalybeata
Lineage: Eukaryota; Metazoa; Chordata; Aves; Passeriformes; Viduidae
Exons: 3
Source: RefSeq, a predicted model, not a curated record
CUCCGGCCCCGCUACAAGCGUCUGGUGGACAACAUCUACCCCGAGGACCCCGAGGAGGGGCUGGUGAAGUCCAACAUGGAGAAGCUGACGUUCUACGCGCUCUCGGCUCCGGAGAAGCUCGACCGCAUCGGCGCUUACCUGUCCGAGCGCCUGACGCGCGACGUCGCCCGGCACCGAUACGGGUCGGUGCGGGUGGCCAUGGAGGCGCUGGACCAGCUGCUCCUGGCCUGCCACUGCCAGAGCAUCGACC